Molecule: non-coding RNA, 30 nt
Filed under: Rattus norvegicus (Norway rat)
Lineage: Eukaryota; Metazoa; Chordata; Mammalia; Rodentia; Muridae
Source: RNAcentral
UACUGGCUUGCUCCUCAUGGCUUGCCCAGC